RNAcentral lists this ribosomal RNA (253 nucleotides) under uncultured bacterium. RNAcentral's name for it is "partial 16S ribosomal RNA". It matches the Rfam family "Bacterial small subunit ribosomal RNA", at positions 524 to 776 of the family's 1533-position model. The record is from RNAcentral.
UACGGAGGGUGCGAGCGUUGUCCGGAAUCAUUGGGCGUAAAGGGCGCGUAGGUGGCCCCUCAAGCGUGCGGUGAAAGUCAGGGGCUCAACCCCUGAUCGGCCGUGCGAACUGGGGAGCUUGAGCACUGUAGAGGCAGGCGGAAUUCCGGGUGUAGCGGUGGAAUGCGUAGAGAUCCGGAAGAACACCGGUGGCGAAGGCGGUCUGCUGGGCAGUAGCUGACACUGAGGCGCGACAGCGUGGGGAGCAAACAGG